Long non-coding RNA from Triticum dicoccoides, 770 nucleotides. RefSeq lists it as uncharacterized. Lineage: Eukaryota; Viridiplantae; Streptophyta; Magnoliopsida; Poales; Poaceae. The transcript has 3 exons. The record is from RefSeq and is a predicted model, not a curated record.
GGAUGUUUGCAAAACUAAGAAGAGCAGAACAGAGUUGGGCACAACUACGACAAGCAGAAGAUUGGUGAACGGGAUGAAACAGUCGAUACCAAUGAGAAUGUCGUUGGUGCUAACAAAAGGUGACACCUCCAGUAUGUCCUUGCUAUUUUUUCCGUCUAGAUCUAAUAUGUGUUCCUACAAAGAGUAAAUAGGAACAUCAGUGCUGGCCUUCCAUCUGAAUCUGAGACAUUGAAUGAGAUCCUGUCAUUGCUAAGAAAAGCUAAGGAGGUCACCACCAAGAAUACCAAGGCCGCGUCGACGGACUCAGAAUUUCAAGUGUCAUUGCAUUGUCGAGUAUGUUCAGCGGGAAGGAAAGCAACAAGCUGCUGGGGGUCAGGAUGACAAAGAUUGGUUCAACGUCGGCUGCUUCGUUGCGCCAGUGCCACACUUAGGCUGGUACAUGCACGUACGACCAUGGCGUCGGCGCCACUUCUUCAUCUUCUCCCGAACUGGCCCAUCCUCGCCAUUUCCACCGGGAUAAGCGAGUUGGAGGAAGAUGGAGAGGUGAGCUGGUUCUACUCAUUGACAGGAAAUUAUUUGGGCAUAACUUCCUUUUCGCAACAAGAAAUGAAAAUGUUCCCAUGAGAUUGAUUGAUCGUGCCCCGCUUUUGGAUGCUGCCGUUGCUUUUGAACCAAUGUCAUCUAUGUCAUCGGUCAUGUAACCUCUAAGGCACCUGAUAAUAUAUAUGAUGUAACUGUCUUUUCUUCUAAAGAUGACAUAUUGUGUCAAU